UCCGAGUUGACCCCGGCAGUCUCCCACGAGUCCCCGGCAUGUCAAGUCCGGGUAAGGUUCUUCGCGUUGCAUCGAAUUAAACCACACGCUCCGCUGCUUGUGCGGGCCCCCGUCAAUUCCUUUGAGUUUUAGCCUUGCGGCCGUAGUCCCCAGGCGGGGUGCUUAGUGCGUUAGCGACGGCACCGGAGGGGUCGAUACCCCCGACACCUAGCACCCAUCGUUUACAGCGUGGACUAC
This 237-nucleotide unclassified non-coding RNA is filed under the name uncultured bacterium. RNAcentral's name for it is "contains 16S-23S intergenic spacer region". The record is from RNAcentral.